RNAcentral lists this unclassified non-coding RNA (206 nucleotides) under Hevea brasiliensis (rubber tree). The record is from RNAcentral. Lineage: Eukaryota; Viridiplantae; Streptophyta; Magnoliopsida; Malpighiales; Euphorbiaceae.
GCAAAAUUAGAUGCGAAAAGUAGUGAACUAAUUUGGCUUCUGUUAGCCUUCCACUUUGAACAUAUGGAUUUUUGCAAAAGACUUAGAAAAAUUGUUUUGACCAUUCAAAGACUUUAAGAACGAGUUGAAAACAUUUUCCAAACUUUUUAAAUUGAAAGAUAAACCUUCGAUAGAUCACAUUUGGCAAUAUUCCUCUCUUACGUUUU